AUGCGGGACCCUACGGGUGCCGCGUUCGGAAUGAGUACGAUUCGAACCACCUAACGAGGAACGAUCGGAGGGCAAGUCUGGUGCCAGCAGCCGCGGUAAUUCCAGCUCCAAUAGCGUACGUUAAAGUUGCUGCAGUUAAAAAGCUCGUAGUUGAACGUUCGGGUUCCGCGGGACGGGGCCGCCCCGCGAGGGACGGCGCCGCCCCGGGGCUCGUGAUAUCUCAUCUCGCCGCCCGUCGCGAGGCGGACGGAGGGAUGGAUGAGGUUACCUGGAAAAAAUCGGGGCGAUCUAGGCGGGCGAACCUCGCCAACGAACGAUCGGACAUGGGAUAACGGAAGAGGGCGUCGGCUCGACUUCGUCGGUUCCUCGGGCCGAGGCACGUACGGUGAAUAGGGACGGUCGGGGCCGCCCGUACCGGGUCGUGAGAGGUGAAAUUCUAGGAUCGACCCGAGACG
RNAcentral lists this ribosomal RNA (455 nucleotides) under uncultured eukaryote. Its description in RNAcentral is "bacterial SSU rRNA". It matches the Rfam family "Eukaryotic small subunit ribosomal RNA", at positions 483 to 937 of the family's 1831-position model. The record is from RNAcentral.